Molecule: ribosomal RNA, 447 nt
Filed under: uncultured bacterium
Lineage: Bacteria
Description: partial 16S ribosomal RNA
Rfam family: Bacterial small subunit ribosomal RNA
Source: RNAcentral
AGCGAACGCUGGCGGCAGGCUUAACACAUGCAAGUCGAGCGCCCCGCAAGGGGAGCGGCAGACGGGAGAGUAACACGUGGGAACGUACCCUUCAGUACGGAACAACCAAGGGAAACUCUGGCUAAUACCGUAUACGUCCGUAAGGAGAAAGAUUUAUCGCUGAAGGAUCGGCCCGCGUCUGAUUAGCUAGUUGGUGGGGUAAUGGCCCACCAAGGCGACGAUCAGUAGCUGGUCUGAGAGGAUGAUCAGCCUCACUGGGACUGAGACACGGCCCAGACUCCUACGGGAGGCAGCAGUGGGGAAUAUUGGACAAUGGGCGCAAGCCUGAUCCAGCCAUGCCGCGUGGAUGAUGAAGGCCCUAGGGUUGUAAAGUCCUUUUAACGGGGAAGAUAAUGACGGUACCCGUAGAAUAAGCCCCGGCUAACUUCGUGCCAGCCGCCGCAGUAA